UAUUAAAGAUUCAACGUCUUUUUGAUGGA
Molecule: small RNA, 29 nt
Filed under: Bombyx mori (domestic silkworm)
Lineage: Eukaryota; Metazoa; Arthropoda; Insecta; Lepidoptera; Bombycidae
Description: ovarian small RNA-24071
Source: RNAcentral